UAAGACAGAGGAGCCAAGCGUUGUCCGGACUGACUGGGCGUAAAGCGCACGCAGGCGGCGCUGCGCGUGGGGUGUGAAAGCUCUUGGCUUAACUGAGAGAGGCCAUCCCAUACGGCAGCACUCGAGCCAUGCAGAGGUCCGCGGAAUUGCCGGUGUAGUGGUGAAAUGCGUAGAGAUCGGCAGGAACACCCAGGGGGAAACCAGCGGACUGGGCAUGUGCUGACGCUCAGGUGCGACAGCGUGGGGAGCGAACCGGAUUAGAUACCCGGGUAGUCCACGCUUUAAACGAUGGACACUCGGCAUCUGGCGCCGAGAUUUCGGCGCUGGGUGCCCAAGCUAACGCGGAAGUGUCCCGCCUGGGAACUACGAGCGCAAGCUUA
Molecule: ribosomal RNA, 380 nt
Filed under: uncultured bacterium
Lineage: Bacteria
Description: bacterial SSU rRNA
Rfam family: Bacterial small subunit ribosomal RNA
Source: RNAcentral